RNAcentral lists this ribosomal RNA (541 nucleotides) under Bacillus thuringiensis. RNAcentral's name for it is "bacterial SSU rRNA". It matches the Rfam family "Bacterial small subunit ribosomal RNA", at positions 111 to 637 of the family's 1533-position model. The record is from RNAcentral. Lineage: Bacteria; Bacillati; Bacillota; Bacilli; Caryophanales; Bacillaceae.
UAACACGUGGGUAACCUGCCCAUAAGACUGGGAUAACUCCGGGAAACCGGGGCUAAUACCGGAUAAUAUUUUGAACUGCAUGGUUCGAAAUUGAAAGGCGGCUUCGGCUGUCACUUAUGGAUGGACCCGCGUCGCAUUAGCUAGUUGGUGAGGUAACGGCUCACCAAGGCAACGAUGCGUAGCCGACCUGAGAGGGUGAUCGGCCACACUGGGACUGAGACACGGCCCAGACUCCUACGGGAGGCAGCAGUAGGGAAUCUUCCGCAAUGGACGAAAGUCUGACGGAGCAACGCCGCGUGAGUGAUGAAGGCUUUCGGGUCGUAAAACUCUGUUGUUAGGGAAGAACAAGUGCUAGUUGAAUAAGCUGGCACCUUGACGGUACCUAACCAGAAAGCCACGGCUAACUACGUGCCAGCAGCCGCGGUAAUACGUAGGUGGCAAGCGUUAUCCGGAAUUAUUGGGCGUAAAGCGCGCGCAGGUGGUUUCUUAAGUCUGAUGUGAAAGCCCACGGCUCAACCGUGGAGGGUCAUUGGAAACUGGG